AGAAGAUACGAAUCUUAUUUUGAGCUCAUUUAGAUAAAUUAACGUUGGUGUAAACAUGUUUUGAAUUGCAGGACUAGUUCAUAUUGACCACCUUUAGUCUCACCAGGGAAAUGGAUGUGAAAGUUUUAGUAUUUAUACUGUUAUCGUUUUCAUUCUUCAAAUACUGUCACCCUAACAAAGAUGAUUCCUACUGCUCAAAAAUGAGCACGUGCGCUGAGUGUACAUCCAAGGGUUCGUGGCUUUUGGGCAUGAAAUGCCGCUGGUGUCCCCUGGAAAAGACCUGUCAUGCUGUUGGAUCAAGAAUUAAUCAAUGCACCAUAGAACAAAAUAUCAAGGAUCCUUCAAUGUGUUACCAUGUUGUGCCAAAAUCAGAUUACAGUCACGAUAAAGCAGUGAUGUAUGCGAACUUGUCCGCAGCAGCAUAUUCGAAUGACCCUCAAAUGUGUAUAGAAGCAAUGAUUCCAAACAGAGAUAUCGUCGUGUGGGACGUGAUUGGCGCAAAGUGUGAUGGACCGCUUGCCAACUAUGACGACUGCUCAGCAUUGAUCGCCAUUGACAAGAGUACACACCAAAUCUUUGUUGUGUUUUCUGGUAGCCAUGCAAGUACAAAACAAGUUGUCGAUAUUAUCUCACAGACCCUUUUACCAAGCAGGUUCAAGAAUAUUGGCAAAGUGCACCGCUACUUCAAAAACACGUUUGAUAAACUAUAUCCAUGUAUAAAAGACAGUGUAGACGAACUCUUAAAAGGUGGAGAUUUCGAGAAUGCUGAACUCGUAUUGACAGGUCACUCGUUAGGCGGAGCGCUGGCUUCAUUGACAUCAGUUGCAUUUGCCAUGGAAACGUCCCAAAUAUCGAAGAGUAGUAUUUCGUUAUACACAUUCGGUCAACCUAGAGUUGGAAACAAAAUAUAUUCUUAUAAUUUUGACCAAAAGGUUACCGACAGUUGGCGAGUGGUCAGUAAACUUGAUGUAUUUUCAGUUCUUCCGCCACAAUUGCAGUUUAAAAGAUAUUUAGACAUGUUGUCCCGCAAAAAAACUGCUCAUUAAUUUGAUGAAGGAAGUACGGAAUUUCCCUAACAUACCUUACCAUCAUCAUACUCAAGUGUACUACCCAAAUGGAAAUAUGGACAAAGAUUCGUAUGUAAAGUGCAAGGGGAACGAAUUUGAUGAACAAUGUCGUAUGCCAAUAACAGAUUAUCUCAUCGAUUUCGAAAACCUAAUUGAGAAUCACAGAUACUAUUUUGGAAUUAACGUACCAGCUCACUGCAAUGAAAACAUCCUCUCCAAAACCAAACGUUCAGUUAAAUGGAAAUUUCCUGACUAUAGAUGCAAAAGGAUUCCGGUGAAUAGACCCAGCAACCAAGUAGCCGGGACAGAUAUUAUACGCGUGAAUGAAUCAAUCUGUACCUUUGAGAAAGAUUUUUGUGGCUGGACCCGAGGAACUGAAGGUAAUUUGAUCAACUGGCUGAGAUGGAAAGGGCAUACAGAUGACAAAAGGAGAACUGGGCCAACCGCAGAUCGCAAUAAUGACAAAUCUGGUUAUUUCAUUUACGUCGACGCCACAAGAAACACUGGAAGGAAGGCGAUAUUAAGAUCCCCGAACUUUCCCAUCAGAACGUACUGCUUUGAAAUGUUUUAUCAUAUGUACGGGGUCUCAUCGGUUCUCCGCUCCCCUCAACACACUGGGACGCUGCAUGUACGGGCGCAUUUAGGAAACUCGAAGAAGGGAAAGGAUAUUUUCACACGAUCGGGGAAUCAAGGAAAAGAGUGGCUACGCAUGGCGUGCACCAUUAAGGCUGAACUUAUGAACAGCACGUUUUAUCUGACGUUGAUGGCUGAAGUGGGUGAAAGUUAUCUCAGCGAUGUUGCAGUUGACGACGUGAGCGUGACGCCUGGACGUUGAUGGCUGAAGUGGGUGAAAGUUAUCUCAGCGAUGUUGCCGUUGACGACGUGAGCGUGACGCCUGGACGUUGAUGGCUGAAGUGGGUGAAAGUUAUCUCAGCGAUGUUGCCGUUGACGACGUGAGCGUGACGCCUGGACGUUGAUGGCUGAGUUGGGUGAAAGU
Mya arenaria is the source of this 2064-nucleotide RNA transcript. It is a transcript of the gene named MAM and LDL-receptor class A domain-containing protein 1-like, with no coding region annotated. The record is from RefSeq and is a predicted model, not a curated record. Lineage: Eukaryota; Metazoa; Mollusca; Bivalvia; Myida; Myidae. The transcript is spliced from 4 exons.